UACGAAGGGAGCUAGCGUUGUUCGGAAUCACUGGGCGUAAAGCGCACGUAGGCGGAUUUGUAAGUCAGGGGUGAAAUCCCGGGGCUCAACCUCGGAACUGCCUUUGAUACAGCAAGUCUUGAGUUCGAGAGAGGUGGGUGGAAUUCCUAGUGUAGAGGUGAAAUUCGUAGAUAUUAGGAAGAACACCGGUGGCGAAGGCGGCCCACUGGCUCGAUACUGACGCUGAGGCGCGAAAGCCAGGGGAGCGAACGGG
This 253-nucleotide ribosomal RNA is filed under the name uncultured bacterium. Its description in RNAcentral is "partial 16S ribosomal RNA". It matches the Rfam family "Bacterial small subunit ribosomal RNA", at positions 524 to 776 of the family's 1533-position model. The record is from RNAcentral.